CCGACAGCGACACUUUAAUUCGGGAAAUUGCGAACUGAUCCAAUAUGGUAGAUAAAAAGUACGAAAGAAAGACGAAGUCAAUAAAAAACCAAUUAUUGCUUGCUUUAAUGGUACCAUUUGCAUGAGUUUGUGGUUUAGACAGGUAGAGGAAUGUCUGCGACUAAGCCAAGGGCCACUGCAUAAGGGUUAUUGAUGACAAAAUAGGUUGGAGACUACAUGAGAUUUUGACAGAUGGCGGGAAACCCUCAUCAACUAGAGAUCAGCCGGAAUCAUCAAGCCAACCUGCAGCAGCCCAAACUGGGGGCCAAAGAGAUGGCUGACCUUGAAAAGGAGCUCGAACUUGACCUUGAAAACUUGGAUGUAAAUACAGACGACAUAGACCUAGAUGAAAAUUUAUUGGAAGACUGAUUGGUCAACUAUGCUUGUAGAAAAAAGAGACAUUUCGAUCAUUAUUAGGGAAACAAGUUUUGAAAUUGCAUGACUGUGUACAUAGAGUGUUUAUGAUUUGAUUUCAAGUUGCAUAUGAGGUUUACAAGUGAUGUGAAUCUUUACUUGUGCUUAUUACUAUCUUGUCAGUGCUUAUUGUUUAACACUCAGUGGGACAAUGGAAUUACAAAUGGUUUGUGAAAAUUUGAGACAGAUGAAUUGUGUUUGAAAUCAUUUCAUUUAGUGCUAAUGUAUGUUUUUAGUUUUGAGGGAACUGAGUGAAUACUGCUUGUGCAAUUGACUGAUACAUAUUGAUUUAAAUUGUUUUAGUGAAGCUUAUACUAAAAUUACAUUUCACGUGUGAGGUAUGGGAAAUUUACCAAACCAAGUUUUUUUCGGCAUUGAUAUAAUUAAAAAAGGCAAGGGUCUAGUUAAAAAUGUUAAGAAUAACUUAUUUUAGUUUUUUAAUAGGUCAGCAUAAAAUAAAACAUUUAUGUAACAACACAUAAUUGUAUUUAUUUCCAUUAUUUGGCAUAAAGUUACCAGUCAAAUUCAAGAUGUAAUAACUAUGUUGUUGAACUAAAACUCUUGAAAGAGCGGGCAUGUUAAGUUACAUUGUAUAUAGUGACAUCACAUUUGCAUGUUUGGAAUAUUCCUAUAUAUGAUACAAUAUGUUGGUAUGAUUUUGUUACAUGUAUUUAAAAUUUGCAAUGCAUACUUCACAUAUAUUGUAUGUGGGAUACAAUCCCGUGCUUGUCAUUGUUAUAAUACAUCUCAAUACUUUCUGCUGUUUUUGGGGUAAUGGAAUAAGAAGCUAUGAUGUUGAAUACCACUGAAUACAAGUAAAAUAAGCGACUUACUGACAUCUAUGUUGAGCAAUGUGGCAAUUGUCUCGGAUGAAUGUUUCAUUAUUCGUGUAGUAUAUAUAUAUGAAUAUAUUUGUUAGUUUUUAUCUAAUUAAGAAAUAUUUAAGUUUUGUUCUAAUUAUGAAAAUAUUAAAUAAUAUUGUUGAGUCUUGAAUCCAAAAUAAGCAUUAUUGCAAUGUGUAUAUUUUUUUGGACAAAGCAUGUUUCCGUAAAUUAAAAUAAUGCAUUUAUAAUAUUUCUUACUGACUCAGUAUUGAAUAAGGAUUAAACACUCCUAAGAAAUUACAAAUAAAAUGGUUUGGGGGGGACAAAGUUUGAAUCAAGCCUGUAUUCAAGCUGUUAUAAUUGAUCAUUUGACCAAAGUUACAGUGUACAUUAUAUUUAUUUGUGUAUAAUGACUAUAAAAAUAUAUCACAUGUGAAUGUGGUAGCACGCAUAUUUUGGAUUCUACUGUAGCAUCAUGAGGAUGGACAUACUAAAUAAAUUUGAUAAUACAAA
Dreissena polymorpha is the source of this 1790-nucleotide long non-coding RNA. RefSeq lists it as uncharacterized. NCBI's taxonomy places the organism in Eukaryota, Metazoa, Mollusca, Bivalvia, Myida, Dreissenidae. The transcript has 5 exons. The record is from RefSeq and is a predicted model, not a curated record.